This 1797-nucleotide long non-coding RNA is filed under the name Carica papaya (papaya). RNAcentral describes it as "long non-coding RNA (CPAP_LNC014242)". The record is from RNAcentral. Lineage: Eukaryota; Viridiplantae; Streptophyta; Magnoliopsida; Brassicales; Caricaceae.
GCAAUUUUGAACCAGCUAAACACCAAUGAGUUACUAUAAAUUCGUAGAUUUAACCAAGGUUUGUCUCUUGACAUGUCUGUUAUGUGCCAUAAGGGAGAGGAAACACAUAAUCAUCUCUUUCUUCAUUGUGAGAUAGUAUGUAAGUUAUGGAUCAGGCUUUUUACACUUUUAACUUAGCAUGGGUUAUUCCUUCAUCUUUGGAAUUUUUCAUCAACACUAAUAUUGGUGGUUUCGAGAUUAGGGAAAAUGCCAUACCACCGUCAGAAGGAGGUUGUUUUCUAGUCUUUAGACUAUCUAGAUAAAGAAAUCAAUAGGUACUUGAUAACCAAUCUUUGCAGGAUAAUUUUAUUUGGGAAAAGAUGAACUUUCUAGCUUCCCUUUGGGCCAAGACUCAUGGGAAAUAUUCUAACGUCUCCCUUACUGUCGUUUAUAGGAGCUGGGAUGCUAUAGUCACUGGAUAUUUACCUCUUUUCUUUUAUCUACCUUUACUUUUUGUUUUGUUCUUUUUUCCUUUGCUUCAAGUAGAUAACUUACCUGCUGUUCUCUUUGUAGUGUUUUCCUCAUUUUCUCAACAAAAACUUCUUUAUGGUGCCAUAUUUUUUUUUAAUAAACAAAGAAGUUUUCAUCUUCCAGAUCAUACUCGAUUGGAAACUUUUCACUAGCCCUCUCUCUUCUGGUCAAGUAGAAAUAGAACGGCUUGACAGAAAAAUCUCCUUUUUAUUGAGGCUCCAUACGGAAAUGUUUUCAGACCCAUUAGGAAUCAUCACCUGCUAUAAAGAGUUGAGAAGUUUCUAUAGUUAUUAACUUCCUAAUCAUUUUAGGAUCCUGGCUAACACAAUCGACCAAUCUCCCAUGCCUUUGGAUUCCCUGUAGGAAUCUUUAACUGAGAUAUUUUUUAUUUUCUGUGACAGUAACAAUAGAGGGAAACUGCAUAAAGAGAUUGCACCUUCCAACCACUAGUCCUAUUAGAAUCUAAGCCUCUCCCGACCUGACUCUCCAUUUAAUGUACUUAUGAAAAGGCUCUUUCUCCAUGUUGAUUUUCUUCCAUGCAACUCAAUGUGGCUUCUUCGGCUCCUUAACAUACCAACUAGAGUUGUCUAAACCCUUGAUCAUCUUUCUCCACACUCCCUCCUUCACCCAUGAAUCUCCAAGACCAUUUGCCUUGAAGGCUAUAUUGAAUUUUACCAAGAAUCUUGCUCCCAACCCUCCCUCUUGAAUCGAUUGUUUCACCACAUUCUUGGCCAUUGCAUUAGUUAAGUGUCCUAGUCAUAUUGUUAAAAUAUAGCAAACUAAAAAGUGUUGCCCUCUCGUCUUUCUCUCUGUUUAAUCUCUUUUUAGCUUUCACCUCCAUAUCUGGCUUGUGGCCAGUAGGAAGGAAUGCAUAAGAGAGCUGGAAUUUGGCUUACUAAUUUGGUCCUCAUUGAGGACAUUGCUUGAGAGCAGAGAUUAAGAUCUCUUUAGAUAGUGUUAGAAAUACAAGGCUUUCACCACAGUCUUGCUGCUCAUUGCAAGAGGUGCAACUUUGUGGAUUGGAUGGAAGUGAUAAAGUAGGUCUAUGAAGAUGAUAAUUGGUCAAAGCAAGCUGCGAAAGAUUUUUGAAUGAGGUGUGGAGGCUUGACCUUGACCAUUUGGAUUUUGUUUUCUUGGAGUGAGGAGGUACAGAUUACAUUAAGAGACCUUUUCUGAAGACGAAGUUUUUUCUGCUUUGAUGAGUUGUAAGGAUGACAAAGCUCUAGAUGUGAUGACUUUUCCAUGGCUUUCUCUUAGACCAAUAGUGAAGAGGUGAAAAGGAUCCUU